This 495-nucleotide ribosomal RNA is filed under the name uncultured bacterium. Its description in RNAcentral is "bacterial SSU rRNA". It matches the Rfam family "Bacterial small subunit ribosomal RNA", at positions 29 to 518 of the family's 1533-position model. The record is from RNAcentral.
AUGAACGCUAGCGACAGGCCUAACACAUGCAAGUCGAGGGGCAGCACAAGGAGCAAUCUGAGGUGGCGACCGGCGCACGGGUGAGUAACACGUAUGCAACCUGCCUGUAAGCGGGGAAUAACCCGUUGAAAGACGGACUAAUACCGCAUAAUACUAAAUUACUGCAUGGUAAUUUAUUUAAACAUUUAUGGCUUACAGAUGGGCAUGCGCAUGAUUAGCUAGUUGGAGAGGUAACGGCUCCCCAAGGCAACGAUCAUUAGGGGUUCUGAGAGGAAGGUCCCCCACACUGGUACUGAGACACGGACCAGACUCCUACGGGAGGCAGCAGUGAGGAAUAUUGGUCAAUGGACGAGAGUCUGAACCAGCCAAGUCGCGUGCAGGAAGAAUGUCCCUAUGGAUUGUAAACUGCUUUUGCAGGGGAAUAAAGUGCAUCGCGUGUGAUGUUUUGUAUGUACUCUGCGAAUAAGGAUCGGCUAACUCCGUGCCAGCCGCUGC